GUCUUUUUGAGUUAUUUUUAAAGUCUGACCUGCCCACUGAAUUAAUUUAAAUGGCCGCAGUAUUCUAACUGUGCAAAGGUAGCAUAAUCAUUAGUCUUUUAAUUGAAGGCUGGUAUGAACGGUUGGACGAGGUAUAAGCUGUUUCAUAUAAAUUUAUAAUAGAAUUUUAUAUUUUAGUCAAAAAGCUAAAAUUUAAUUAAAAGACGAGAAGACCCUAUAAAUCUUUAUAUUUUGUGUUAUUUAAAUUUUUUAGAUUUAUUUUAUUUUUAUAGUAUAAAAUAUUUUGUUGGGGUGAUGUUAAAAUUUAAUGAACUUUUAAUUAUUUAAAAUCAUUAAUUUAUGUUUUAUUGAUCCAUUAAUAGUGAUUAUAAGAUUAAGUUACUUUAGGGAUAACAGCGUAAUUUUUUUGGAGAGUUCAUAUCGAUAAAAAAGUUUGCGACCUCGAUGUUGGAUUAAGAUAUAAUUUUAGGUGUAGCCGCUUAAAUUUUAAGUCUGUUCGACUUUUAAAUUCUU
Molecule: ribosomal RNA, 513 nt
Filed under: Bactrocera amplexa
Lineage: Eukaryota; Metazoa; Arthropoda; Insecta; Diptera; Tephritidae
Description: partial 16S ribosomal RNA
Rfam family: Bacterial large subunit ribosomal RNA (bases 389-513)
Source: RNAcentral